This 1584-nucleotide long non-coding RNA is filed under the name Salmo salar (Atlantic salmon). RNAcentral describes it as "lncRNA (ENSSSAG00000087151.1)". Lineage: Eukaryota; Metazoa; Chordata; Actinopteri; Salmoniformes; Salmonidae. The record is from RNAcentral.
GUGGGCUAUACUCGGCCUUGUCUCAGGAUGGACCUGAGCCCUAGGAUCUCAGGACUACCUGGCAUGAUGACUCCUUGCUGUCCACCUGGCCGUGCUGCUGCUCCAGUUUCAACUGCUCUGCCUGAGGCUAUGGAACCCUGACCUGUUCACCGGACGUGCUACCUGUCCCAGACCUGCUGUUUUCAACUCUCUAGAGACAGAAGGAGCGGUAGAGAUACUUUCAAUGAUCGGCUAUGAAAAGCCAACUGACAUUUACUCUUGAGGUGCUGACUUGUUGUACCCUCGACAACUACUGUGAUUAUUAUUAUUUGACCAUGCUGGUCAUUUAUGAACAUUUGAACAUCUUGGCCAUGUUCUGUUAUAAUCUCCACCCGGCACAGCCAGAAGAGGACUGGCCACCCCUCAUAGCCUGGUUUCUCUCUAGGUUUCUUCCUAGGUUUUGGCCUUUCUAGGGAGUUUUUCCUAGCCACUGUGCUUCUACACCUGUAUUGCUUGCUGUUUGGGGUUUUAGGCUGGGUUUCUGUACAGCACUUUGAGAUAUCAGCUGAUGUAAGAAGGGCUAUAUAAAUUGAUUUGAUUUUGAUUUGAUGACAGUCAAUUAUGGCUAAAAGCAGAAGCAUUUAUCCUGUAGCACAAGCUCACAUGUAGGUAGUAUUUUGCAUUAUUCCAAAUCAUACAUUUUGGGUCAGUUUAAUCUGUGAAGUAGUAAACAGGAUACAGAAUUGCAAAACCCAAACAAAUUAAAUGGUUGGUGGAAAUAUAAUUGUCUAUUCUAAGCAUUAAGGUUAAAAUACUAUAUAAACAUUAUUUCCAGAGAAAAGUUAUAUAUUAUUUGGUAUCUGGAACUGUGACCUUUCAGAUUCAAUGAAACUAAUGUUCUAUGACUGAGUGGAAUUUCUUUGAAUUGCACUUAAUUAAAUUCUACUUCCUGCCACUCAAACUCAAAUUAUACAUCAUGUGGGGUGUGGUCAAUUCAAUUAGAAUUUCAACUCAUGAGUUGAAUGGAAGUCAAUUCCAAAAUUCAGAAUUGAGCCCAACCCUGGUGAGAAUGUGUUUGUUAUUGUGUAGUUGAAUAAAUGCUUUUGAGUGUACAAUGUAUGCAUGCUUUUGAGUGUGUGUGUGUGUGUGUGUGUGUACUGCAAAUUAGCCUUAAACAUGUCCUUACGUGAUGCUGUCAUUAAGAUUUGUAUUGUCAAUCCAGACCCACUGUCCGUCUUACAUCGUUUCUGUCAGUCCAAUCCAGGGGAGUGUCUCCAACCCUCCUCAGUGAUGUAGUCAAGUCACUUAACCUCGAGCCUGAGUCGAGUCCCAAGUCCCUAGUAUUCUCAAGUCACGAGUCGAGUCAUGGAUACAGAUGUCCUCCGUCGCGGAUGCAGGCGUAUUGACUCUGUUCGUUGCUGGAGAAAUAGUAGCAUGAUCCAUUGAGAAACGCCAAGCCAGGAUAACAUUGUGCCUUCCCUCUCUCUUCUACGGAAGCAAUCUAAAUGUAAUUACUCACAGUACUAUAUCCUCUUAUGUUCAUGUUAAAUGUGUGUUCCCGUUUAAGAGUGCACAAGAGUUGUGGACAAGAAUCACCCCCCCCCC